UUCCAGAACCAGACACCAGAAAAGUUCUCAACAAAUGAAUGGCUUCUUUAGAAGACAAAGAAUAAGUAAGUUCAGUUGUAACUAGAAGUGAAAGGAAAGUCAUCUGCAGCUACGCUUGGAGAUGUUGGUCUUUUCAUAGCAUGGUCUUUUUGUGGCAUGCAGCAGUGAGGGCAAAGAAACCAUUAGGGAACUUUGAAGCCUUGGUUUGCUGCUGCUAGGGAUCCUUUUCUUCUCUGGUAGUGCAGGAGCUAUGAGGGAAUGGAGCUUCUGAGAGCCAGGUGGCGGGAGAAGCUCCAUUUUGAAAAAUGGGAAUGGGCUUUGCGGGAAAGUGAGGCAUACAACCUACUUUGUGGCUCCUGUCUUGUGGUUGGCACAAGGCACCACAUGCAUCCUUUCCACUUUAACUCAAAAUAAAAUCAGAUUGUUUGCUUUAUUGUUUGGAAAAAUGCCCAGUUGUUAAACUUUCCUGUUGGAUCAGUUUUACCAACUGCAUUCCAUCCUCUGGGUUUGAAAACUUGGAGGCUAUUUGACCAUAUUUCUGCACCCCAUGUCGCCAAAGGUCACCAAAAUGUAGCUAAAUAUUUCUUGGUGGAGUUAAAGCUUUUUUUCUUUUAUUUUUGCAGAAGUCUUGAAAGGUUAAAGGAACUCUACUUCUGCCUUCCAUUCGUUGCUAGGGUCCUCUUACCUUUGAUAAGAUACCAUAUCACCUUUUGAUUAAAAUCUCCAGAGAUGUGAACUCACCUCCGCCAAAGAGAAGUCCCAUCAUAGGUGGAUAGCUCUCUGGUUUCACACAUUUCUUUGCAUUUCACUAUUUUGCUUCCCUAAGAGCUCAGUGUUGCCCCACUGAGCAAGGCCUACUCUUCUUUCUUUUGAUGGUCCAUCAAAUACGGGAAGUUAGUUCUCGUGUCUAUGCUGAGAGCUAGUUCCAAAGUGAGUCACACCUUUCCUCAGGAUUGCGGCCCCAUCUGCCAUUCGGAUCUUCAGACUGCCAAUGCCCCCUGCAAUCAGACUUGCACAUUGAUGCUAGGUUUAUCUAAAAACAGCUUUUCCUUUGCGAUCACUUGCUGAAACAUCAACAAAGUGUUCCCGUUAUACAAAAACACAUUUCCUGCUAAGGGUUUUUUUUCCCCCUCCCACAGCCCUAUGAUUGGUUUAUUACCUGGGUCUCUAUUUCCCAAUAAAGCCAUCUCCUGCUCUGGUUAGGCGACCUUCACAGUGGUCCCUCCACUUACUUUGCUCAUCUCUCAGCUUCUCACCGUAUGCAUUCCUGGGCUUCCUCAUCUGGCAAGCUUUACAUUGCUUUCUCCAAAAUCAUCAUCUUUUUUUAUAACCUUAAAUAUCACUUUCUUCAUAAAGCCUAUCCUGAACAACAUUAGCCUCAAUUAUGUGACAUGUAUUUUGAAUGUGUCCUCAUAAGUGAAUGUCUUCGGGCAGGUUCCCCAGGAAACAAACUGUGAAAUGGAGAUUUGCAUGCAGGAUGUUUGUGGGGAGUAGUCUCAAACACAAACCUGAGAGGAAGUAAAGGGAGAAGGACUGGAUACAGGGUAAAUUUGAAAACUGCAAUGUUGUUGCAACAGAAGCUUCAGUAAAGUCAUGGGGCACACUGGAGCUGGGAUUGCCUGUUGAGGCUGGGAGGCCAGACUUUCUAUUGCUGUAUGGACCAGUCAUUAGAUGUGGGCUGCCUCCUGUAAGAAGCAAAAUCUUGAGCCAGCAGCUUUCUUUUGCAGAGAGCAAUUUCUGGGGAGGAACUGGCUGUGAGUUCUCAGCAAGCAACACUCCCAGCAGCUGGGAAGAUGAAGACGAGUGUCUCAGCUCUGAGGUGAAGUCUGGGUGGCAAUCUUUAACAUGAACAAUAUGCAGUUAAGAACAACCUAGCUUGUGCUUGGAUGUACAAGAGCUUCAGUUUCCCCAGCUGCAGUGAAGAGUAACCUCUCUCCUGACCUCCUGCACCGUAGAGUCUCUGUCUGUCGCCAGGCUGGAGUGCACCGGUACGAUCUCG
Piliocolobus tephrosceles (Ugandan red Colobus) is the source of this 1999-nucleotide long non-coding RNA. RefSeq lists it as uncharacterized. The record is from RefSeq and is a predicted model, not a curated record. The transcript has 3 exons. Lineage: Eukaryota; Metazoa; Chordata; Mammalia; Primates; Cercopithecidae.